UCUUGGUCAUUUAGAGGAAGUAAAAGUCGUAACAAGGUUUCCGUAGGUGAACCUGCGGAAGGAUCAUUAUUGAAUGAAACUUCUGGCUGGAUGUUGUUGUGCUGGCCCUUUGGGGCAAUGUGCACACCUCUGGUCAUCUGUUUCUUCUGUUCCACCUGUGCACUGCCUGUAGACACACUCUGUGUGGUCUAUGAUAUGUUUACAUACACACAUUAUAUGGGCAUAUUAUAUAUAAUAAAAUUACAACUUUCAACAAUGGAUCUCUUGGCUCUCGCAUCGAUGAAGAACACAGCGAAAUGUGAUAAGUAAUGUGAAUUGCAGAAUCCAGUGAAUCAUCGAAUCUUUGAACGCAUCUUGCGCUCCUUGGUAUUCCAAGGAGCAUGCCUGUUUGAGUGUCAUUAAACUAUCAAAACACUUUUCUUGGGUGUUUUGGACUUUGGGAGUAUAUUGCUGGUCUGUUUGAGCCAGCUCUCCUCAAAAGCAUUAGCUUUGGAGACCAUCAGUGUGAUAAUUUGUUUACACUGACUUGAGUGUCUCAGCUUCUCCUUUNGAUGCCCCUCUGACCUCAAAUCAGGUAGGACUACCCGCUGAACUUAAGCAUAUCAAUAAGCGGAGGAA
This 618-nucleotide ribosomal RNA is filed under the name Amanita vaginata. Its description in RNAcentral is "eukaryotic LSU rRNA". The stretch from base 245 to 398 matches the Rfam family "5.8S ribosomal RNA". Lineage: Eukaryota; Fungi; Basidiomycota; Agaricomycetes; Agaricales; Amanitaceae. The record is from RNAcentral.